GCAGCAGUUCUGUGCUCCAUAGCAGGAAGCCAAAAGCAAAAGAUAUUUUAGAUUAACAAAUGAGGUGGAAAUGACUUUUCCCCCCAAGGACUUAUUUCCCAUGAGAAAACGAGUUUCUGAGAAAAAAAAAAAAAAAAGGCUCUAAAAAUAGGUUGUGUCACAGAAUUCUGAGGCUGCAUCUCCUGCAUCCCUGAUGGAAAGCUCAGCUCCCAGGAGAGGCUCAGGAGAGCAGCAACACUUGGAUGGUUUGGGAGCAGCACCAGGGCAGCAGCGUGGGUGUGUGGGGACGUGCAGGUUAAGUGCCUUUCUGGAAGUCAGACUCUCUUCUCCAGGACAUAAUCCAAGAAGAACCCAUGGAGACAAGAAUGGAGCCUUGGCUCCUCUUCAUAUCACAAGUAUUACUCAUGAAGGAGAAUUUUCAGGUUUGAAAUUCAAGAUGUCCUGUAAGGCUUCCUUCUCCAAACUCAGCUCCUUUGGGCAGGGAUCACCCUGAGGAAUGGCAGAACUGCUCUGAAAUUUUGUGUAUUAUGCUAUAAAAAAAUUUAUUUGAAACAUUCUGAGAGGAGAAAAUGGAUUUAGCCUGAGAACUGAAGAAAAGUUUCUUUUCCAGAGUGUUUAAAAACUGCCAGUAUUUCCUCACAUACACUGGAUUCCCACUGACACAAAUAAUUCCAGCUGUGAUCAAGGCAGCAAAACAAGGCACCUCCUCAGCUCACACGAGUGUGCUGCCUUCCUGUGCAAAUGAGGGAGCUGUGCUAAUUACCAGCUCCCGUCCCUUGUUAUCAAACUCCUGCUAUUUGUGCACACAGAUGAAUCAAGUGCCUGUGGAUGUGGGACAGAUGCUUGCAAGUGCUCUGUGAAUGUACAAUCACAUUUCUAGCUCCUUCAAGGGAAGUAGAACCUGGAACUGAAACACAAACUGCAGUUAAAUUUCACCCCCCAAAAAAAUCUCACGAAUAUUGGAUGAUUGUUUAGUGGUUGUUAGUGCUUAAAAUUUUAUUUCCUUCCAGGCAAGGAAGGAAAUAAACAAAAUUUCCUUUCCUAUGAAAAUGUUUUAUCAUAACAUUUCAAUUUAGCUGGUAAAAGAGGUUUUUAAAAAUGUUGCUUUAUGCAGCUGUAAACCUGGUUAUUAAAUAAUCCCAUAAACUCAAAUAAUUAAAAAUAUAGUUGCUGGAUUCCAUAAACUCAUAAUUGAAACUGUUGUUGGGCAAUUCUGAAAAAUGAGCUGCAAAACUUUAAAAAAAGUUUUAACUGGUAUAAACAAGAGCACCUGACAUUCAGGCCUCCUACAUAUUCAAAUAAAGACAUUAUUAUUCAAGUACUAUUUGUACUGAAGUAAUUCCCAGGCUUCCAGUCACAGAGAGAGGCAUCUAAAGGGUGUGGCUUUGAUUCCACAUUAACAAUUGAUGGAUGUUUUUUUUGUCAAUAUAACAUUCAUUGUACAUUUAUAAGCACAAAGUUUGGGUAUCUCUGACUAAAAGAGCAGCCACAAAAAUUCUUUUUGGUGCUACAGGUAAAUUUUGCCAAAAAUUAAAAAAUCCCGGCAGAAACCUCACGCAUUCUCCUGUCUCCCUACCCAUAAAGCACAUUUAUUUUGUUCCCAUUUAUUUUGUUCCCAUUUAUUUUGUUCCCAUUUAUUUUGUUCAGAUUGCUCCUCCAGCCAGGUCAGCUUUGCUGUGUUUGGUGGCUGUUGUGAGAGCUGGGGCUGCAGCAAACACAGAACAAGGACCAGAAUUGUGUCUUUCUGUCUCCUUGGCCACAAGAAACUUCAAGAUCCCCAUCAGGUCUUAAAUCUUUUGGCUACAGAAUGAACUUAGGUGACUUUCUCAAACAUUCCCUGUCAAGACUCAUCCCUUAUUUCUUUGAAUCACGUUCACUACUUUGAUGGUAAUAUGGAUUUUUUUCUUCCCCCCCCUAUGGUGAGGGUUCAUUUAGUGACUCAUUUUGCUCUCCUACGUAAAAUAGUUUCAACAUUUUUUUUCUAAAUGCAUAGCUGAUUAAAUCACAAAUAAUUGCUCCUCAGAAAGAACAGUAUUUUAAAUCUUUUAGACUUUCUGCCUUUCAAGUCAGGGAGUUCAAUGAAUCAUUAGGCAUUUCAAUGUAUUAACAAUUUCAGUGGUUUGAACAAUAAAAACCCUGCUCUGUUUAAUUUCCUGCUCUGUUAAAGUUACUUUUGUUCUCACCUAUUAUCUGCUCAACAAAAUUAGUGUUUAGUGAUAUAUGCCCCACUCUCCCAGUGAGGAAUAUAUAGAUGGAAGCAUGUGUUAUAUCCAAAAUAUAGCAGUGAUUUCUAGUUGUUAAAGCCACAAACAGCCUUUAGCUCUGUGUGUGACUCUGACCCCCAGCUGCUGUCCUGGGGAAAGCUCCACUAUAAAGAAUUCCAUCUUGUUUUAUGGAAAACUCCCACAGGUGUGGCAGGGAGAGAAUAAAACCUCCAACUUCCACUGCCAUUGUUAUGUGCGUGCCCCAGGCCCACACACACCAGCACUGAAUUGCCAAUUAGAAAAUUAAAAACUGCUGCCAAGGGCCUGAUGUACUGAAGGGUUGUAUUAUUGGAAAUAAAAAAAACCUCAACUCAC
Molecule: long non-coding RNA, 2579 nt
Organism: Passer domesticus (house sparrow)
Lineage: Eukaryota; Metazoa; Chordata; Aves; Passeriformes; Passeridae
Exons: 3
Source: RefSeq, a predicted model, not a curated record